Molecule: unclassified non-coding RNA, 799 nt
Filed under: Hevea brasiliensis (rubber tree)
Lineage: Eukaryota; Viridiplantae; Streptophyta; Magnoliopsida; Malpighiales; Euphorbiaceae
Source: RNAcentral
GUCAGCCAGGAUUUUAUUUGUCUAAAUAUUCAAUCUUCCAAUUCCAAGUUUAAAAGAGUAACCAAAAGAGAAGAAAUCAAGGCUUUCAAAUUUCAAUCACAUUGUUGCAGUGCAAAAAUGGCAUCCCACGAUCAGUCCUUCAGAGCUGGUGAGGCCACUGGCCGAGCCGAGGAGAAGGGUAACCAGGUGACUGACACCAUGAGGGAGAAGGGCAGAGAAGUGAAGGACAGGACCUCAGAGACAGCUGAACAGACCAAGCAGAAAACAGCAGAAACCGCAGAGGCAACUAAGGAGAAGGCUUAUGAAGGAAAGGAGAAGACCAAGGGGACCUGGUCCUCCAGCAAACUGGGGAGAAAGUGAAGCACGCUGCUCAGAGUGCUGCUGAAACUGUAAAGAGUACGCUUGGGACGGGUCAACAUAACGAUGAUGAGAAUAAGAACCAUACUGGUGGUUAUGAGCAGACUACUACUAACAUGGAAUCCGAGUAUUAGCUAGCCUGGCUUGACACACCAACCAAUGGAAGGUUUCAGCUAGUUUCAUAGGUUUAUUAGAGACUUCGUUUUUCUUUGUUUUAAGUAGUCCUGUCACCACCAUGGCUCUAUAUGUGUACAUGUUGGUGUGUUCUGAGACUUUCUAUGAUUAGUUUUAGCAUUUUACGAGGGAGGUCCAGAAAUAAAAGGGUCUAGUGUCUGGGGCAGCUUCUUAUGAGUUGCUGCCAUUGUAAUUUUAUAUGAAACUUUGUUACGCAAAUAAUGUGCCUAUAAAAAUGUUACUAUUAAUACUUCCCUUCUCUCUGAGU